UAAGGAAUAUUGGACAAUGGACGCAAGUCUGAUCCAGCCAUGCCGCGUGAAGGAUGAAUGCCCUCUGGGUUGUAAACUUCUUUUAUAGGGGAAGAAAGAUACUUUUUUUAAGGUAGUUGACGGUACCCUAUGAAUAAGCACCGGCUAACUUCGUGCCAGCAGCCGCGGUAAUACGAAGGAUGCAAGCGUUAUCCGGAAUUAUUGGGUUUAAAGGGUGCGUAGGCGGACUAAUAAGUCAGUGGUGAAAGCCUGCAGCUUAACUGCAGAAUUGCCAAUGAUACUGUUAGUCUUGAGUACAGUUGAGGUAGGCGGAAUGUGUCAUGUUGCGGUGAAAUGCUUAGAUAUGACACAGAACACCGAUUGCGAAGGCAGCUUGCUAAGCUGUAACUGACGCUGAGGCACGAAAGCGUGGGGAGCAAACA
This 422-nucleotide ribosomal RNA is filed under the name uncultured bacterium. Its description in RNAcentral is "bacterial SSU rRNA". It matches the Rfam family "Bacterial small subunit ribosomal RNA", at positions 355 to 774 of the family's 1533-position model. The record is from RNAcentral.